This 332-nucleotide unclassified non-coding RNA is filed under the name soil metagenome. RNAcentral describes it as "partial contains 5.8S ribosomal RNA, internal transcribed spacer 2, and large subunit ribosomal RNA". The stretch from base 1 to 120 matches the Rfam family "5.8S ribosomal RNA", at positions 35 to 154 of the family's 154-position model. The record is from RNAcentral.
GAUGAAGAACGUAGCGAAAUGCGAUAAGUAGUGUGAAUUGCAGAAUUCAGUGAAUCAUCGAAUCUUUGAACGCACAUUGCGCCCUUUGGUAUUCCUUAGGGCAUGCCUGUUCGAGCGUCAUUUAAACCUUCAAGCUAAGCUUGGUGUUGGGUGACUGUCCGCUUCACGGCGGACUCGCCUCAAAAUUAUUGGCGGCCGGUACAUUGGCUUCGAGCGCAGCAGAAACGCGAACUCGGGCCCGUCGUAUUGGCUCCCAGAAGCUAUCUUCACAAUUGUGACCUCGGAUCAGGUAGGGAUACCCGCUGAACUUAAGCAUAUCAAUAAGCGGAGGA